GUGGGUUGCCAUGCCCUCCUCCAGGGGAUCUUCCCAACCCAGGGAUGGAACGGUUGUCUCUUAGUCUCCUGUAUUGGCAGGUUCGUCACUUCCAAGUCCCAGGGAGGAAAUCCCCAACAAGUGGCGCCUGAACAGGGACUUGAAAGGAAGGCUGAACAAAGCGAUGAGCCCCUACAGAAAGAGAUGGAGAGGAAAUCUGGAUUCCCCUUUGCCAUGUCCAUUACUGAGAGGGACCCCAAGACUGGACUCCCUCGGGAAGUGACGAAGUUGACGCGAAGGGUCUCGUCAAUGACCCUGGAGGAGCCAAUGAGGAAAUGCCAUCGUCUGAAUCCUUACCCAAUAUGGGCUCAAGUGAAAAACAUGACUCAUCAGGCUGAGCAGACACUGAAGAGUACUGGAACUCCUAUGACUCCAGAUAAGCUGUUUCUGGCAAUGUUAGCU
Long non-coding RNA from Bos taurus (domestic cattle), 441 nucleotides. NCBI's taxonomy places the organism in Eukaryota, Metazoa, Chordata, Mammalia, Artiodactyla, Bovidae. The record is from Ensembl.